GGUCCGUGUAAGGGAUUGAAGGGUCCAUAGGGGAUUCUAUGGGGUCCUAUGGGGUUUCUAUAGGGUCUGUAUAAGGGUCCGAAGGGUCUAUAUGGAUUUCUAUAGGGUACUAUGGGGGAGCAAGGGUCCCCACGGGGUUUCCAUAGGGUCAGUGUAAGGGAUUGAAGGGUCUAUAUGGGUUUCUAUAGGGUCCUAUGGGGGAGCAAGGGGUCCUAUGGGGUUUCUAUAGGGUCCAUAUAAGGGUCCAAAGGGUCUAUACGGGUUUCUAUAGGGUCCUAUGAGGGAGCAAGGGUUCCUAUGGGCUUUCUAUAGGGUCAGUAUAAGGGUCCGAAGGGUCCUAUGGGGCUUCUAUAGGGUCCGUAUAAGGGUCCGA
Oxyura jamaicensis (ruddy duck) is the source of this 373-nucleotide long non-coding RNA. RefSeq lists it as uncharacterized. Lineage: Eukaryota; Metazoa; Chordata; Aves; Anseriformes; Anatidae. The record is from RefSeq and is a predicted model, not a curated record. The transcript has 3 exons.